UACUUGGCGUUGCUGUGAGGUCGCAGAAUACAUCAGUCAAUACAGUUUCGGACAAAACAUUUGCAACUAGUCUCAUACAAUCAUCAAACUGUUCAUAUAAAAUCUGCUAAAAGUCCUUGAAAAAAACAAAGGUUUACAUGUUCGAGUUCAUUUCAACAAAAUUAAACAUUGUCAAUACAAAUCUCAGAAGUUUUUCUCCUGUGCAAAACCACUUGCAACUAAGGUAGCGUUUAAUAUUUUGUAGAAAAUCCCUUAUUGUCAAAAUUGUCAAUAGACUCGAUCGGGCUGUCAAUAAUUCUUUGUGGGAUUGAUUCCCGAGCCUUCCGGAUUUGUUCAAAUAACCGGCUCUCAUUUCGUACUUCUGCGCGAUUGAUUCUUCGGUUUACGAUCUCCCAAAGGUUCUCAAUCGAGUUGAGAUCCGGAGAUUAUGGUGGCCAAUCCAUCACCUUCAUUGUUUAACCACUUUGGCGGUCUACUUAGGGUCAUCUUGCUAGAAUACGCAUUUUAUCGGCACUACUCCAUUCGGCAUAACACAGCGACUCUCAUGAUGGUGUUGUGCAUAAAACGAUCCAUAAUUUCGUUGAUCCGAUGAAUUUGACCAAGACCGUUAGCAGAGAAACAACCCCAGACCAUCACAAUACCUCCGCCGUGUGUCACAGUCAUUUGACAGUACCGUCGAUCUAAGCGCUUUCAGACCGGUCAACGUACGCGACAAAUUCCUUUGCCUCAAAAUAUAUUGAAUUAAUACCCAUCACUGAAUGGAACCGUACGCGAUUUCUGCGGAUUGCAGUCAAUAUGAGAUCAAGCGAAGUCUUUUGUUCUUGUUCUUCAAUGAAAUCAGAGGUUUUUUUACGGGCCGUUGAGACUAGAAUAAUGAGUCUUCAAAGGCACGCCGUCUGAUUAUCCGGUUCGAUACAUAGAGCUGCAGUUCUUCUUGUACCUUAAAGGAUGAUUUUGCAUGAUUUUCUUUGAUACACAUGUAGAUCAAAGGGCCCUCCUGGGUCCUGUAUUUGUGUAAGUCAAAAAUAGACUGAUACGCCGUCAACUACAAAAUGAUUGUUUAUUUAUGUGUCGAUGAAAUGAAGGUCGUUAAUGCUUUAUAUAAUUGAACGAUUUCUGUUGCAAAUGUUUUGUCCAACACUGUCCCGAGUCCCGAGGCAAGUGGAGGAAAAACCUUUUUUUUUACAAAAAAUGUUUUUACUCAUCAGUUCCCUUCAAGAGUGAUACAUGCAGUCCAACGUUUUUCCAUUUUAAUACUUUUUUUGUAAAUCGAUUUCUCCUGACCUUCAAAAUUACCGCAUAUUCGGUAAUCACCUCGUCGUUGGAAUAAUUUUUUUCCCAUCGAGCCAUUUUUUGAGUUGGGCAAACAGCCAACAGUCACUGGGGGCCAGAUCUUGCCGCCAGCUGCGGCCGUUUAUGCGACUUCGAUCGCUCUUGCAAAGCAAUAAUAUUCGCUGUAGAUAGUUUUGCCUCUCUUAAGAUAAUCAAUGUAAAUGUUUCCUUGUCCAUCCAAAAAACGGAAGCGAUGACUUUUCCAGCCCAUUGUUGCGCCUUUGACCGGCCACUCAGCUGGCUUACAUCCUGACUCCAGCGUAUAAUGGUGAAUCCAUACUUCGUCCAUGGUAAAAUACCGAUGGGAAAAACUCCGCCUCGUUACGCUUGAAAAUUCUCAAACACUCCCCGGAGCAUCAACGUGCGGUUGUUUCUGGUCGACCGUGAACGAGCGCGGCACGCAUUUUGAAAAAAGUUUUUGAACAAAUGUUCAUGCAAAAUUUUGAAAGCACUACCUUUUUAUAUCUAUAUGAUGUCAGCGAUCUCCGGCAACUUCACUCUGCAAUUUUUCAAGAUGAUUUUGUGGGUAUUCUUGAUGUCUUCCAUCUCGUUCAGCCUCCCAGAGCGUUCGGCAUCAUCGAUGCUCUUUUAAAUUCCGUAAAUCAACGUUUUACGGUUGCCUUCGACGGGGUAGAGUCUGGGUAACACUUAUCAAGCCAUUUUCUGGGUGUUUUUUUUUUCAUAUUAAAAGGCAAUGAUAAAUCAAGACACGAAACUGCUUUGCCUCCAUGGUUGAUGCGACUACCAAGAGUACUGUCACUCAAAAUGAUGUAACUUGGAAACUAAUGGGCGGAUUACAAUGACUUUUUUCACCUGUCAUCUAGAAGAUGGCGCGUGAAUUCAGAAAGACUUACUAUGUUUCUUUAAAACUUUAAGAUGACAAUAUUUUAUGAUAUUUUGAAUAAAGUGUAAUAGAGAUAAAAUAAACCAAGAUAAAAUGAUUAAUUUGGAUCGCAAUAAAAAAAACAUAACAGUGAUGUCUAGUUAUGAGUCAAAACUCUUCAAACAAAUAUAUGAAAUAAUCAGUUUCUUUUGUGUUUUUUUUUUUACACGUUCGUUAACUCAGGAUUUCUCGUACUUUCUACCAGUAUCAGAGAGGAAUUACAAAUUAACAAAUUAUUGUGUCCCUGACACUCAGUAUAGUUAAAGUACAUAAAUACUAGACGGUUAAUAAUCCACUUAAACACUCUCUUUUGAUGUUAUUUCAACCAUAAAUAAUGAUAAUUCACUGCACCGACCCAGCCCUAGCCGGUUCCCGCACCUGGCACCGAUCGUCGUUUCGAUGAUCUAUUGUAGAAUUAACCAGCUAACGGCCGAACGACUAGGUAAUUAAAACGCUCUCACUCUCUCUCACUCACAUUUUAUAGAGAAUUCUUUAAAUUCCACAAUAGCCACACGUCUUUUCACGCACCGGAACCAGCGCAGAGAGUUACUGAGCGGUACUGUCGCUCUGCUUUAAGACAUGGCAUAAUUCAUCAGAAAUUUCUGUGCGGAAAGGAGAAAAUAAACACUGAAAGGUGUCGCAGCAGCGAAUGUGUGAUUUAUGGAUGUCGUUGCUUGUGAAUCAAAUGUCUGACCGGUAUGUUUGUUGUGAGAAAACAUAGAAUUUAAGAAUGUCACUUACCUUAACCGGAGGCAACGCAUUCGUGAUGGUUAAGCCAAUACUUCGCAGUCCAACGAUGGGUGGAAAGUCAGUCGUGUACAGCCGCUGUAAACCGUGCGUUGUUAGCAGUAUGGGGAUGUUAUGCUUCAACCGCUCCUGUUCGUAUUUGACCAGCUGGGAGAGGUUAUUUAAUCCAAGACCGCUGUAGUUCGCCUCUGCAAGCGUAUCCGUGAGACACUGGACGUCACCGAAGCCCAAAUUAACUCCCUGACCAGCGAGCGGGUGAACCCGAUGAGCGGCAUCCCUAAAAGGUACUGGUAUGACCAAGCCCCAGUGGAAAGGCGGCACGCGACUUUUCCAUCACACUCUCAACAACCGGAGGAGGUUCCAGUCUACUUCCAGUUGAAGCAGAUAUAAGAGAGUUCACAUUUUUCAUAACGUCCUCAACGAUGUUGUUUUUCGGGCUUACGAAAGCUUCGUUGACUGCUGCAACGAAUGAAGGUUCGUCCAACUGGAGCAAUCGCUUCGCCUCCGGUACACUGGUGGACCAAACAAGUGAACUCAUUUCGUCGUUCAAUGGUAACAAGGCAAUAGGACCGGUCGGAAGAAACCGUUGCCAAGCUGUGACGUUGUUCGCUGCUCCUCCAGCUAAUUUGAGGGUCGCCACCACACCCAUCUGAUUGUAGGCGAGGGUGAAGUUAUCGACUCCCAUCGACCGGCGAACCAAGGAGUUGUAACCAUCGGCUCCAAUCUGGAAUUAACAAAAAACAAACAUCAGCAAUUAACUUCAUGGAACGAGUGGUGGAGGCGCUCGGUACACUGUGACUUUCAAAUCUCCAUUGAAGAAUUUCAGCCAAAUUUUCUUUCGAUCGAAAUAAAGCAUUUAAAGCAUCAGUCAUUAAUGCGAUUGGAUGUACAGCGAAAGCGAUACUAAGGCCGAUCAGGUUUCAAUUAUAUAAUAUGUCCAACGUGAUUACUAACACACGCAAACAGAACGCCAAUGAAUACCGGUGAGCUGGGCUCCAGCGGCGGAAUGUUGUAAAAACAGUUCGUUAAUCUUAUUUCCGAAAUUAAAUUAAAGUUGGUUGACCUACACGGUAUUGAAAAUAUUUAAAUUUACGUUUUGACGGACUGUUUGACUGGUUGAAUAUUUCAAAAGACGGAGAUAACUUUUGAAUGAUUUAAAAGACAGGAUAAACUUUCGAAAUAUUCAACCCAAUUUUUUGCUGUCAAAGAAUGAAUUGUGUUUUUCUAUGAAUCAGUGGUAGUUGAAAUAUCUCGAAAACAAAAGCACUUACAAAGUUAGUCACUAAGAGCUAAUUUAAAAUUACUUUUAGAAUUUUAUUACGUCACUGGAAUAAGAUUAUUUAAAAAAACUGGAAUCGCAAUUAAAUGUUGUAAAAACAAAUUUCAGAGGCAACUUUAACUUUUUCUGGUUCAACUCAAAAUUUGUGGUUUAUUUUCUAAUUUUUCAAAUUUGAAAAGGAACAAAAUAAUAAAAUAAGCCGUUUGAU
Wyeomyia smithii (pitcher-plant mosquito) is the source of this 4449-nucleotide long non-coding RNA. RefSeq lists it as uncharacterized. The record is from RefSeq and is a predicted model, not a curated record. NCBI's taxonomy places the organism in Eukaryota, Metazoa, Arthropoda, Insecta, Diptera, Culicidae. The transcript has 3 exons.